RNAcentral lists this ribosomal RNA (232 nucleotides) under uncultured bacterium. Its description in RNAcentral is "partial 16S ribosomal RNA". It matches the Rfam family "Bacterial small subunit ribosomal RNA", at positions 15 to 224 of the family's 1533-position model. The record is from RNAcentral.
GAUCCUGGCUCAGGACGAACGCUGGCGGCGUGCUUAACACAUGCAAGUCGAACGAAGAGCGAUGGAAGCUUGCUUCUAUCAAUCUUAGUGGCGAACGGGUGAGUAACGCGUAAUCAACCUGCCCUUCAGAGGGGGACAACAGUUGGAAACGACUGCUAAUACCGCAUACGAUCUAAACUCGGCAUCGAAGAUAGAUGAAAGGUGGCCUCUACAUGUAAGCUAUCACUGAAGG